GCUCCAUUCAGCAGUGACCUGGAAACAGUUGCUGCUAGGUCAAAUUCAGUUUGGAGGAAUUGGAAAUCCACCGUCUGAUUUGUUGAUGAAAAUGGAGAUUAAAGUGUUGUUUCAGAGCCGGAACCCUGAGCUAAUCAAAGCUGGCCUGCAGCACGUGAUCUCUCUACUCGCCACCUGAUUGGCUCCGUCACAGCGUCAAUUUAAAGAGCCAAGCGCGAGCGGCGUUCCUAUUGGCCGACUGCGUUCCGGCGCCAAUAUUUCAAUAUAAAGAGGGAGCAGACAGCUGCUGGAGCCGCUCAGUCUCUCUCUCCCCUGCUUUUAACUUUCACACCGUAACUUAUUUCAUUUUAAACCCGUCACAAUGCUUUCUGUUCGCGCGCCUCUGUCCGCGAAGAAGGAGAACUCUCUCAGCAGUGAGAUGAACAAGAUGGCGCUGGACAAAGAAAACACGCCCCCGAGCCUCAACACCACG
Molecule: long non-coding RNA, 472 nt
Organism: Notothenia coriiceps (black rockcod)
Lineage: Eukaryota; Metazoa; Chordata; Actinopteri; Perciformes; Nototheniidae
Exons: 3
Source: RefSeq, a predicted model, not a curated record